GUCGAGCGAGAAAGUCCCCUUCGGGGGAUGAGUAAAGCGGCGCACGGGUGAGUAACACGUGGGUAAUCUGCCCUCGUGUCUGGGAUAACCCGGGGAAACCCGGGCUAAUACCGGAUGCGACCUCGGGGUCUGCGGACCCCUUGGAGAAAGAUGGCCUCUUCAUGAAAGCUGUCGCACGAGGAUGAGCCCGCGUCCCAUUAGCUAGUUGGUAGGGUAACGGCCUACCAAGGCUGAGAUGGGUAGCUGGUCUGAGAGGACGACCAGCCACACUGGAACUGAGACACGGUCCAGACUCCUACGGGAGGCAGCAGUGGGGAAUUUUGGGCAAUGGGCGAAAGCCUGACCCAGCGACGCCGCGUGAGGGAUGAAGGCUCUCGGGUCGUAAACCUCUGUCAGGAGGGAAGAAACGUUGCCGGUAAACAGCCGGCAAACCUGACGGUACCUCCAAAGGAAGCGCCGGCUAACUCCGUGCCAGCAGCCGCGGUAAUACGGAGGGCGCAAGCGUUGUUCGGAAUCACUGG
RNAcentral lists this ribosomal RNA (521 nucleotides) under uncultured bacterium. RNAcentral's name for it is "bacterial SSU rRNA". It matches the Rfam family "Bacterial small subunit ribosomal RNA", at positions 61 to 557 of the family's 1533-position model. The record is from RNAcentral.